RNAcentral lists this ribosomal RNA (310 nucleotides) under Rhizophagus irregularis. Lineage: Eukaryota; Fungi; Glomeromycota; Glomeromycetes; Glomerales; Glomeraceae. The record is from RNAcentral.
CAGUCGUACCGACGAGAAAUCAAUUUAUCGUGUGUUAACUUGUGGGCGUGCGUGAGUUUCGGCCUCGCUGUUUGCAUGUUUGUGCGCUUUGGGUGUACUUGCCCGUGUGUAAGUUAACAUCAAUUUUGGUGGUCAUAAAAUGGCUGGAGGAAUGUAGCUUCGAUCCUGUAUUGAAGUGUUAUAGCCUUCGGUAGAUGUGACGAUCGGGGAUUGAGGAUUGCAACGGAUACCCUUCGGGGCUACCUGUCUGAUCUCUGAUUGUUGCUCUGGUCGCCGAAGCUUGCUUACGGUUAUCAAAGUCGAUGGUCAA